GUAAUAUAAGAUACAGUCUCUUAGCUUUUAACUAAAAAAAUUAAGAGACGUCUCUUAGUUUUUUUAGUUAAAACCUAAGAGACUGUAUCUUAUAUUAC
RNAcentral lists this microRNA precursor (98 nucleotides) under Brassica napus (rape). RNAcentral describes it as "MIR9563 microRNA precursor family". It matches the Rfam family "MIR9563 microRNA precursor family". The record is from Rfam by way of RNAcentral. Lineage: Eukaryota; Viridiplantae; Streptophyta; Magnoliopsida; Brassicales; Brassicaceae.